Long non-coding RNA from Sciurus carolinensis (gray squirrel), 416 nucleotides. RefSeq lists it as uncharacterized. The transcript has 2 exons. NCBI's taxonomy places the organism in Eukaryota, Metazoa, Chordata, Mammalia, Rodentia, Sciuridae. The record is from RefSeq and is a predicted model, not a curated record.
CAACCGCUGCCUUCCUAUGGCCCGCCUAUUCUACUCCACCCCACCCCCGCCCAUCACCACCGCCGCUACGGGAGUACGGGACGUGGGUCUGCUGUGCUGGAGGUUGUUCUACAGUCACUGUUCACAGGAUUGAAGACGAGGUUUGGGUAGAGCCAGGUCUGGGAACUGCUGUGCUCUGUAAAUACAGGACUGAAGAAGAUGUGACAAGCUCAGAUAUCACCAUAGCUAAGGUAUCAAAGUGAAGACCAUAGAUGCUGUGAAUCUAUAUAAAACCCAGAAUAUUAAGCUGCAACAUGGGGGCAGUGGAAAAUACUUGGAAAUUUCAGUUCAAUCAUGAGAUGAAAGGUAUAUAAGUACACUGAAAACUCAAAGUGCUUUCUUAGUUUAUUUCACAAUAAAGGAUGCAUUUACUGUUU